RNAcentral lists this long non-coding RNA (1277 nucleotides) under Nicotiana benthamiana. Its description in RNAcentral is "long non-coding RNA (NBEN_LNC019106)". The record is from RNAcentral. Lineage: Eukaryota; Viridiplantae; Streptophyta; Magnoliopsida; Solanales; Solanaceae.
UUAUUUAUUACCCAAGUGUUAGUUGUAGAGCCCCUAAAGUUUAUUCUUUGAACCAUGUUUUUACCACCAGUGAUAUGACCUCUUGUAUUUGGAAUUAUAUUUUUCUCCCCUAGGCUUCAAGACUAGAGGCAGAAACACCAUCUCUAUCCUUAGUCAUUGGUGUUCUAUUCCUACAAAGAAUCAUGCUCACAAAUUCCUCCUACAGAUCACCCCUAUGAUUGUCUUGUGGGAAUUAUGGAAGGCUAGAUGUAGUAAGAAGUAUGGCACCAAAUCAAUCUCUACCUACAAUAUUUUCCAACAAGUUGUAUUACAGGUUAAGAUAUCCACGGGGCUUAAACUCAAUAAGAUGGGUUGGGAUUGGAAUUGGUAGAAGGUUUUCCAGAUUGUUGAAUCCUACAAGCCUACCUCAAAAGUACCAUGGUGGUAUGGACUAAACCGGAAGGCAACUUGUGGAAGCUAAACACUGAGGGGAGCUAAAUUGCUAAUCAAGGCAAGAGUGGAGCUGGGGCAUUUUUAGGAACACAACUGGACAUAUGGUACUUGCCUUGUGUCACCAGUCCAAUUCUUUACUAACAACUAUUAGAGGUCCAAGCAGCCUUAUAGCGAAUUCACUUGUAACGAUCCGACUGAUUGCUUUGCGUUUUAAAACCUUGUUCCCUUAAAUAAAACUUCCCGCACUUUCUUUAGCUAAUUUAUAACUUGGGGGAGGGCGGUUCGUAAGUUAGAAGAGUUUUGAGCCAAAAUGUGUCCAUUUGCUUCUUUAAGUUUUUAUAAAAAGUCCAACUUUGACUUUGGUCAACUUUUUUGGGAAACGGACCCGGGUUUAUGAUUUGACCAUCCGAAGAAUCCGUGGGAAAAUAUGGGACUUGGUCGUAUUUCUGGAAUCGAAUUCCAAGGUCCCUAGCCCGAGUAAAGAAUUUUUCUGUGAAAUUGUUAAGUUAGAGUUUAAAAGAAUUAAAUAAACGAAGUAAUCAUUGAUUUCCUAGGUAUCGGGCUCGGAUUCUAGUUCCAAAACUUGGUACAGGUCCGAAAUAUCAGUUAAGACUUAACUAUGAAAUUUGGUGUCAAUCCGAGUAGUUUAAGGGCGUUUUUGACCCGUUAGAAGGAAAUUUAGAACUUGAAGAUUCAGUGACUUGAUCCAUUUGGUUUUGGGGUUGAUUCCUCGAUUUAGCGUUGUUUUGAGUUUUUCGAGGGUUCUAAUAGGUCCACCUCAUGAUUUCAAACUUGUCGGUAUGUUCGUGCGGGGCUUAGGAGCACCGAGCGUGAAAUGAUCGAGG